GACCCCACAGGAAGAGCAAGGAGCUGAUCCCACAGGAGGGAUGGGGAGCUGAUCCUAUAGACACCACAGAAGGGGUGGGGAGCUGAUCCCACAGAUCCUACGGGCAGGAGGGGAGCUGACCCCACAGACCCCACAGAAGGGGUGGGGAGCUGACCCCACAGAUCCCUCAGACCCCACAGGAAAG
Long non-coding RNA from Passer domesticus (house sparrow), 184 nucleotides. RefSeq lists it as uncharacterized. NCBI's taxonomy places the organism in Eukaryota, Metazoa, Chordata, Aves, Passeriformes, Passeridae. The record is from RefSeq and is a predicted model, not a curated record. The transcript has 2 exons.